AAUCCUUUAUCGAGGAUCUAGCGGAGGGCAAGUCUGGUGCCAGCAGCCGCGGUAAUUCCAGCUCCGCAGGUGUAUAUCUAUGCUGCUGCGGUUAAAAAGCUCGUAGUUGGAUCUGCGUGCUCGGAACUGGUUGGCUCACUGAGUUCAAACUGGUCUCCGGCGCUUUAUUUGCUGGUUUUCCCUUGAUGCUCUUAACCGGGUGUCUCGGGUGGCUAGCGUGUUUACUUUGAAAAAAUUAGAGUGCUCAAUACAGGCGCAAAGCCUUGAGUAGUGGUGCAUGGAAUAAUAGAAUAGGACCUCGGCUCUAUUUUGUUGGUUUUCGGAACACGAGGUAAUGAUUAAGAGGGACAGACGGGGGCAUUCGUAUUGCGACGUUAGAGGUGAAAUUCUUGGAUCGUCGCAAGACGGACGACUGCGAAAGCAUUUGCCAAGAAUGUUUUCAUUAAUCAAGAACGAAAGUUAGAGGUUCGAAGGCGAUCAGAUACCGCCCUAGUUCUAACCGUAAACGAUGCCAACUAGCGAUUCGCAGGCGUUAAACAACGACCUUGCGGGCAGCUUCCCGGAAACGAAAGUGUUCCGGUUCCGGGGGAAGUAUGGUUGCAAAGCUGAAACUUAAAGGAAUUGACGGAAGGGCACCACCAGGAGUGGAGCCUGCGGCUUAAUUCGACCCAACACGGGAAAACUCACCCGGCCCGGACACCGUAAGGAUUGACAGAUUGAGAGCUCUUUCUUGAUUCGGUGGGUGGUGGUGCAUGGCCGUUCUUAGUUGGUGGAGCGAUUUGUCUGGUUUAUUCCGAUAACGAACGAGACUCUGGCCUACUAAAUAGUGGGCGGAUUCUUUCUGUCCGCAACACUUCUUAGAGGGACAAGCGGUGUUCAGCCGCACGAGAUUGAGCAAUAACAGGUCUGUGAUGCCCUUAGAUGUCCGGGGCUGCACGCGCGCUACACUGAAGGAAUCAGCGUGCUUUCUGACCUUGCCCGUAAGGGCUGGGUAACCCGAUGAAAAUCCUUCGUGAUUGGGAUAGGGACUUGCAAUUAUUUCCCUUGAACGAGGAAUUCCCAGUAAGUGUGGGUCAUAAGCUCGCGUUGAUUACGUCCCUGCCCUUUGUACACACCGCCCGUCGCUGCCCGGGACUGAGCCGUUUCGAGAAGAACAGGGACCGUCGUUGAAGGGCCCUAACGGGCUUUUCUCUGAUAGAAACUGUUUU
RNAcentral lists this ribosomal RNA (1208 nucleotides) under metagenome. Its description in RNAcentral is "SSU rRNA". It matches the Rfam family "Eukaryotic small subunit ribosomal RNA", at positions 528 to 1760 of the family's 1831-position model. The record is from RNAcentral.